This 254-nucleotide ribosomal RNA is filed under the name uncultured prokaryote. RNAcentral's name for it is "partial 16S ribosomal RNA". It matches the Rfam family "Bacterial small subunit ribosomal RNA", at positions 525 to 777 of the family's 1533-position model. The record is from RNAcentral.
ACGGAGGGUGCGAGCGUUGUCCGGAAUCAUUGGGCGUAAAGGGCGCGUAGGCGGCCACUUCAAGCGUGCGGUGAAAGUCGGGGGCUCAACCCCUGAUCGGCCGUGCGAACUGGGGGGCUGGAGCACUGUAGAGGCAGGCGGAAUUCCGGGUGUAGCGGUGGAAUGCGUAGAGAUCAGCAGGAAUACCCGUGGCGAAGGCGGCCCCCUGGGCCGUACCUGACGCUGAGGCGCGAAGGCUAGGGGAGCGACCCGGA